Molecule: ribosomal RNA, 329 nt
Filed under: uncultured Bacteroidota bacterium
Lineage: Bacteria; Pseudomonadati; Bacteroidota
Description: bacterial SSU rRNA
Rfam family: Bacterial small subunit ribosomal RNA
Source: RNAcentral
GAUGAACGCUAGCGACAGGCCUAACACAUGCAAGUCGAGGGGCAGCACAUGAGUAGCAAUACGAUGGUGGCGACCGGCGCACGGGUGAGUAACACGUAUGCAACCUACCUGUAAGAGGGGAAUAACCCGGAGAAAUUCGGACUAAUACCGCAUAAUACCAAGAGACUGCAUGGUUUCUUGGUUAAACAUUUAUGGCUUACAGAUGGGCAUGCGUAUGAUUAGCUAGUUGGUGAGGUAACGGCUCACCAAGGCAACGAUCAUUAGGGGUUCUGAGAGGAAGGUCCCCCACACUGGUACUGAGACACGGACCAGACUCCUACGGGAGGCAG